AACGAGCUCAACCCUUGUUUUUCUUGCCUUUAUGGAACUCUNGAAAGACUGCUGGUUAUAAACCGGAGGAAGGCGGGGAUGACGUCAAGUCAGCAUGCCCCUUACACCCUGGGCUACACACGUGCUACAUUGGGCGAGACAAUGAGAUGCAACUCUGCGAAGAUUANCUAAUCUAUAAACUCGUUCUAAGUUCGGAUUGCAGGCUGCAACUCGCCUGCAUGAAGGUGGAAUCGCUAGUAAUCGCUGGUCAGCUACACAGCGGUGAAUCCGUUCCCGGGCCUUGUACACACCGCCCGUGGGGCGGGGGCGGCGGGCCGGGCGCGGGGCGCGGCGGGCGA
RNAcentral lists this ribosomal RNA (338 nucleotides) under uncultured phototrophic eukaryote. Its description in RNAcentral is "bacterial SSU rRNA". It matches the Rfam family "Bacterial small subunit ribosomal RNA", at positions 1091 to 1438 of the family's 1533-position model. The record is from RNAcentral.